This 86-nucleotide transfer RNA is filed under the name bacterium. Its description in RNAcentral is "tRNA-Leu". It matches the Rfam family "tRNA". Rfam says of the family: Transfer RNA (tRNA) molecules are approximately 80 nucleotides in length. Their secondary structure includes four short double-helical elements and three loops (D, anti-codon, and T loops). Further hydrogen bonds mediate the characteristic L-shaped molecular structure. tRNAs have two regions of fundamental functional importance: the anti-codon, which is responsible for specific mRNA codon recognition, and the 3' end, to which the tRNAs corresponding amino acid is attached (by aminoacyl-tRNA synthetases). tRNAs cope with the degeneracy of the genetic code in two manners: having more than one tRNA (with a specific anti-codon) for a particular amino acid; and 'wobble' base-pairing, i.e. permitting non-standard base-pairing at the 3rd anti-codon position. The record is from RNAcentral. RNAcentral also lists the same sequence under 1 other name.
GCCGGAGUGGUGGAAUUGGCAUACGCACGGGACUCAAAAUCCCGCGGGCCUUAGCGCCCAUGAGGGUUCGACCCCCUCCUCCGGCA